ACCUCGCUAUAUAAAGCCUCAAAGUUACAGGGAAGAGUCACAGGAGACAUCAUCUGAGAAGAGACACAAUAACAGAUAAUUCACAGAAAUGGUUUCAUUCAGCAAUCGCCCAGCGCUGCAGCUGCUUAUGCUGGCGUCACUGACAUGUCUCAUCAUGUAUACUGCGAAAGCUGUUCCUGUUAUCCCAGAAGUAAUCAGACUUCCCAAUAAUACGUGUCCACCGGACAUGGAACCAGGUUGUCUCCGCAUAUGCUUUGGAGAUUGUGAUGGAUUAAACAGUACCACGGAAGCUUGCAUACUUUUGUGCAAGCUUGGAUGUGAUUGCAAAGAUCGAAGUUACGUUCGUACUUCUAAGGACUCUGACAUCUGUGUCCCGCCCUCAAUGUGCAACGUUACCUGUCCUGCAAACAUGACCUUCAACCCAUGCGUCAAAAAGAGUGGACCCACCUGUAAUAGCGAAGAUCCCAUUACAGAAUUACCAUGCUUACCGCGCUGUGUGUGCAAUCCGGGUUAUGUUAGUAAUGGGGGCAUAUUUAAUCGAACGUGUAUUAAAAAAAGUGAUUGUCCACCUUCAAUAAAUUCCAAAAAAUCUAAAAAAUAAAAGGUAAUUAGAACCGCCCAUGUUAUAUGUCAUGCUAACAGUAAAGUGCUGUACUGUGUUAGCCAAUAAAAAAGGCAGUGAAAAAAUAAAUAUAAAGUGGAAUUAAA
Long non-coding RNA from Pseudophryne corroboree (corroboree frog), 708 nucleotides. RefSeq lists it as uncharacterized. Lineage: Eukaryota; Metazoa; Chordata; Amphibia; Anura; Myobatrachidae. The transcript has 4 exons. The record is from RefSeq and is a predicted model, not a curated record.